RNAcentral lists this ribosomal RNA (1371 nucleotides) under uncultured bacterium. RNAcentral describes it as "bacterial SSU rRNA". It matches the Rfam family "Bacterial small subunit ribosomal RNA", at positions 28 to 1381 of the family's 1533-position model. The record is from RNAcentral.
GAUAAACGCUGGCGGCGUGCCUAAUACAUGCAAGUCGAGCGAACGGACGAGAAGCUUGCUUCUCUGAUGUUAGCGGCGGACGGGUGAGUAACACGUGGAUAACCUACCUAUAAGACUGGGAUAACUUCGGGAAACCGGAGCUAAUACCGGAUAAUAUUUUGAACCGCAUGGUUCAAAAGUGAAAGACGGUCUUGCUGUCACUUAUAGAUGGAUCCGCGCUGCAUUAGCUAGUUGGUAAGGUAACGGCUUACCAAGGCAACGAUGCAUAGCCGACCUGAGAGGGUGAUCGGCCACACUGGAACUGAGACACGGUCCAGACUCCUACGGGAGGCAGCAGUAGGGAAUCUUCCGCAAUGGGCGAAAGCCUGACGGAGCAACGCCGCGUGAGUGAUGAAGGUCUUCGGAUCGUAAAACUCUGUUAUUAGGGAAGAACAUAUGUGUAAGUAACUGUGCACAUCUUGACGGUACCUAAUCAGAAAGCCACGGCUAACUACGUGCCAGCAGCCGCGGUAAUACGUAGGUGGCAAGCGUUAUCCGGAAUUAUUGGGCGUAAAGCGCGCGUAGGCGGUUUUUUAAGUCUGAUGUGAAAGCCCACGGCUCAACCGUGGAGGGUCAUUGGAAACUGGAAAACUUGAGUGCAGAAGAGGAAAGUGGAAUUCCAUGUGUAGCGGUGAAAUGCGCAGAGAUAUGGAGGAACACCAGUGGCGAAGGCGACUUUCUGGUCUGUAACUGACGCUGAUGUGCGAAAGCGUGGGGAUCAAACAGGAUUAGAUACCCUGGUAGUCCACGCCGUAAACGAUGAGUGCUAAGUGUUAGGGGUUUCCGCCCCUUAGUGCUGCAGCUAACGCAUUAAGCACUCCGCCUGGGGAGUACGACCGCAAGGUUGAAACUCAAAGGAAUUGACGGGGACCCGCACAAGCGGUGGAGCAUGUGGUUUAAUUCGAAGCAACGCGAAGAACCUUACCAAAUCUUGACAUCCUUUGACAACUCUAGAGAUAGAGCCUUCCCCUUCGGGGGACAAAGUGACAGGUGGUGCAUGGUUGUCGUCAGCUCGUGUCGUGAGAUGUUGGGUUAAGUCCCGCAACGAGCGCAACCCUUAAGCUUAGUUGCCAUCAUUAAGUUGGGCACUCUAAGUUGACUGCCGGUGACAAACCGGAGGAAGGUGGGGAUGACGUCAAAUCAUCAUGCCCCUUAUGAUUUGGGCUACACACGUGCUACAAUGGACAAUACAAAGGGCAGCGAAACCGCGAGGUCAAGCAAAUCCCAUAAAGUUGUUCUCAGUUCGGAUUGUAGUCUGCAACUCGACUACAUGAAGCUGGAAUCGCUAGUAAUCGUAGAUCAGCAUGCUACGGUGAAUACGUUCCCGGGUCU